RNAcentral lists this unclassified non-coding RNA (294 nucleotides) under uncultured fungus. RNAcentral's name for it is "sequence contains ITS1". Lineage: Eukaryota; Fungi. The record is from RNAcentral.
AAGGACUACUGGGGUUUCUAAUCCUGUUUGCUCCCCACGCUUUCGUGCAUGAGCGUCAGUACAGGCCCAGGGGGCUGCCUUCGCCAUCGGUGUUCCUCCACAUCUCUACGCAUUUCACUGCUACACGUGGAAUUCCACCCCCCUCUGCCGUACUCUAGCCGUGCAGUCACAAGCGCAGUUCCCAGGUUAAGCCCGGGGAUUUCACACCUGUCUUACACAACCGCCUGCGCACGCUUUACGCCCAGUAAUUCCGAUUAACGCUCGCACCCUACGUAUUACCGCGGCGGCUGGCAC